Non-coding RNA from Picea glauca (white spruce), 123 nucleotides. Lineage: Eukaryota; Viridiplantae; Streptophyta; Pinopsida; Pinales; Pinaceae. The record is from Rfam.
AUGUACAUUCCUAUAGCAUAGCGUUAAUGCAUCAGAUCCCAUUAGAACUUCACAUUUAAGCACACUCAAUAUAGAGUAGUAAUGGGAUGGGUGACCGCCAGGGAAGUCCUAUUAUUUUACAUG